CGGAGCGUAGCGCAGCCCGGUAGCGCACCUGCUUCGGGAGCAGGGGGUCGCAGGUUCGAAUCCUGCCGCUCCGACCA
Molecule: transfer RNA, 77 nt
Filed under: Variibacter gotjawalensis
Lineage: Bacteria; Pseudomonadati; Pseudomonadota; Alphaproteobacteria; Hyphomicrobiales; Nitrobacteraceae
Also listed under: 2 other names
Description: tRNA-Pro
Rfam family: tRNA
About the family: Transfer RNA (tRNA) molecules are approximately 80 nucleotides in length. Their secondary structure includes four short double-helical elements and three loops (D, anti-codon, and T loops).
Source: RNAcentral